Molecule: long non-coding RNA, 606 nt
Organism: Oreochromis aureus
Lineage: Eukaryota; Metazoa; Chordata; Actinopteri; Cichliformes; Cichlidae
Exons: 5
Source: RefSeq, a predicted model, not a curated record
CGUUGUGCCUGCCCCCUGGGUCCCCACCAUCUCUGACAAGUUUGGAACAAAGAAGGAGAAGGAUUAUGAGCAUGGGGAAAGAGGGAGGGAGGAACGGAGAUUCACUGUCACGCACCACUUGAGCACGGGGAAGAGGACACCAAUGCUCACUUGCACAUUGAACAAUUGUAACCUUUAUCACUGUAAAUAAACGCACUGUUGUUCAUUCAGAGCUCCGUGCCAGGGUCCACUCAUUCACCCCCGGUGACAGCAAUGACAUACACACCCUGAGGUUCUCAGAACAAGCAGAUUGAGCUUGAAAAGAAAGACUUAGCAGCAGCUUUCUCUCUCACAAGACUGAUCAGCAAUUUGAGUUCAUGAUGCAGCUUUAUGGAGCUCUGAUCCUGUGUGUGACUCUGUCUGCAGCAUGUGGAUUAAAAUGCUACACAUGUGCAGCUGCAGAUCCUAAAUCCUGCACAGACACCACAUCUUGUGCAUUCAUCUUCAACCGUUGUUUCUCUGGCAGAGUAGAUGGUCUUAAUGUAGUUACAAAGGGCUGCCUAAACAGUGUAGCAUGUGUUUGGCCUAUGUCUUGCUGUGAAGGGGACCUGUGUAACAGCACUAUUC